Molecule: long non-coding RNA, 1735 nt
Organism: Magallana angulata
Lineage: Eukaryota; Metazoa; Mollusca; Bivalvia; Ostreida; Ostreidae
Exons: 3
Source: RefSeq, a predicted model, not a curated record
AGUUCAUCUUAGCUUGGAAUCUUUUUCCAGACGUCAUACAUCUACGUAAGACAUAAUUGGCGGUCCCCUGUCAGUUCGCACCGGUAGACGAGUUGACCCGGCAGUGAUACCGCCCGGUCUGGAAUGAACCCUGCACGCGCUGAUCUGCUGCAGACAAAACCUCAUUAAAUAAAAACGCUGCUUUUCUCCCGGAGACUGUAAAUCGUCGCUCGCCCUCCCUUCCUCUUAUCCUCGUCUUCGGGUCAUUCCCAGAAGUCUCCGUAAUGCAAUACAACUAUGCCUGCUACAGAACGUUAUCUUUAAUUAAGUCCAGUGUUUUAGCAAUAUUUUAUGACAGACAAACCAUCAAUCCGUCAGCUCUCUGCAGAAUGUUUUAAAGCCCCCCAAAAUAAACUCAGAAAUAAGGAAACCUUGGGGGGACUCGCUCCAGCACUUUAAGGAUAUUUUGUGGGAAUUUCGUCACGGCUGUAAUCCGCCAGGGCUACCCCAAAUUGAAAGACAAUCAGAAAAGCUGAUGUGUUUGGAUAACCAUAGUCCCCAACUGUCGCGGCGAAGCCUGGCUAUGAUUUGAAGAUGGGACCAAAGGGAUGCCAUGAUAGCACAUAUCAAGUUCGCAAUCCUAACAAUUCUUUGGGGUUUUUGGGCUGGUAUAUUAAAAGCUGUAGUUCUGCAACAGAAUUACUUCGUUUAAAAUGUUCCCGACUGUGAAAGAGGAUUUCAUAUUUCUCCUCGUUUGAACACGUUUUUAAUGUAUUAAUUCUCAACUCAGAACUUUGAUCUUUAUGAACUAAAUGUUGGGUUUUAUCUUAGAUAAGACGUUCGCGUAAGAAACGGUACGAGAACUCUAAAAUGGGGAAUGGGGGCCAUAUUUGAGUUCCAGAGAAUAACAAUCAGAGAUGGAGCAGCUAGAGUGAUAAAUCAUUGCUUAAUAAUGAAUGAAUCCUCUCCCUGGACGAUUGCACAAAAUCCUUCGUACAGAAAUGGAGACUGAUAACUAUAUUAAUUUUCGUACCAGGACUUCAAAGAUACCUCUUGAUUUCUGUUGCAAUAUUAAUUCACGAGUGGAUUUAAUCACUACUAGAUACCUCUCUGCAACAGUUAUUUUCUUUUAUUCCCUUUCUCUCUGUCAGAACAUAUGUUAAGGUUCUGUUCACGUCAUUCUUUAUUUUUAUAUUACAAGAAGAAUUGCAAUGCAUUUUCAAUUAAGUUAACAUAAUCACUCUUCAAGCCCCCUUUUCCAAGAAAUAAUAAUAAAUGAAUGUGAAAAUAAAAAGGGGUUUUUUUUUCAUUACAAGUUGCAAGGUCUAUAAAAUUAUAAAUGUCAACGAUCAAAAGAUUUUGAGAUAAAGUUUUCUGUAGAUGACUUUUUGUGACGUACACCUUGUAAUUUGGAGAAUUAUACGGAAUUAAAUAUGUAGGAGAUACGGUAUCUCCGUAGUUUCUAACAUUCUCGGGGGAGCGAUGUUAUCCAAGUAUGUUCAAACACCAAGAUUUCAAACCCGAUACGUACCUUGCGCCAUCUUUUAAGGUGUCCCUAAUGUCGGGGACGCAUUGUUAACCUGAAAUAUUUAUGGCGGCAUGUUUGUUUGGGAUCCCGCUUUAACUGUCUUUGAUUUACCGGGAUAAAGACAUCAUCAAUCAACAACACGAUAAAUAAUGAAGUUCAUCGUCGAUAUUUGUUGAUGAAAGAUUUAGUGUAAAAUGAUUUCAGCCUUCAAUACCUGUUUAUGUUCAU